UGAAUACGAGACGCUAAGGCGUCGAAGUAGUGUAUGUCAUACUUCCAAGAAAAGCUUGCACUGUCAUAGAUAAAAAACGCCUGUACCAUAACCGACACAGGUGGGUAGGUAGAGUAUACUAAGGGGCGCGAGAUAACUCUCUCUAAGGAACUCGGCAAAAUAACUCCGUAACUUCGGGAGAAGGUGUGCCUUAUUCGUAAGGUUGCAAUAACAAGAUCCAAGCAACUGUUUAUCAAAAACACAGGUCUCCGCUAAGUCGUAAGACGAUGUAUGGGGGCUGACGCCUGCCCAGUGCCAGAAGGUUAAAGAAGUUGGUUAGCAAUUGCGAAGCUGAUAACUGAAGCCCUGGUGAACGGCGGCCGUAACGAUAACGGUCCUAAGGUAGCGAAAUUCCUUGUCGGGUAAGUUCCGACCCGCACGAAAGGCGUAAUGAUUUGGAUACUGUCUCGGAGAGGGGCUCGGUGAAAUAGACUUGUCUGUGAAGAUGCGGACUACCUGCACCAGGACAGAAAGACCCUAUGAAGCUUUACUGUAACUUGAAAUUGAAAUUGGACUUUAUUCGCGCAGCAUAGGUGGGAGGCGUUGAUUAUAAUCUUGCGGGAUUAUUGGAGCCAUCAGUGAGAUACCACUCUUGUAAUGUUAGAUUUCUAACUUUGAAUCAUUAUCUGGUCAAAGAACAGUUUCAGGCGGGCAGUUUGACUGGGGCGGUCGCCUCCUAAACGGUAACGGAGGCGUACAAAGGUUUCCUCUGAACGGUUAGAAAUCGUAUCUAGAGUGUAAAGGCAUAAGGAAGCUUGACUGUGAGACCUACAAGUCGAGCAGGGACGAAAGUCGGUCUUAGUGAUCUGACGGUACUGAGUGGAAAGGCCGUCACUCAACGGAUAAAAGUUACUCUAGGAUAACAGGCUGAUCUCCCCCAAGAGUUCACAUCGACGGGGAGGUUUGGCACCUCGAUGUCGGCUCAUCGCAUCCUGGGGCGGUAGUACGUCCCAAGGGUUGGGCUGUUCGCCCAUGAAAGCGGUACGCGAGCUGGGUUCAGAACGUCGUGAGACAGUUCGGUCCAUAUCCGGUGUAGGCGUUAGAAUAUUGAGAGGAGCCUUCUUUAGUACGAGAGGACCGAGAAGGACAUACCUCUGGUGUACCAGUUAUCGUGCCAACGGUAAACGCUGGGUAGCUAUGUAUGGAGUGGAUAACCGCUGAAAGCAUCUAAGUGGGAAGCCCACCUCAAGAUAAGUAUUCUCAAC
Molecule: ribosomal RNA, 1244 nt
Filed under: metagenome
Description: bacterial LSU rRNA
Rfam family: Bacterial large subunit ribosomal RNA
Source: RNAcentral